RNAcentral lists this ribosomal RNA (497 nucleotides) under uncultured bacterium. RNAcentral describes it as "partial 16S ribosomal RNA". It matches the Rfam family "Bacterial small subunit ribosomal RNA", at positions 28 to 507 of the family's 1533-position model. The record is from RNAcentral.
GAUGAACGCUGGCGGCGUGCCUAAUACAUGCAAGUCGAGCGAACGGACGAGAAGCUUGCUUCUCUGAUGUUAGCGGCGGACGGGUGAGUAACACGUGGAUAACCUACCUAUAAGACUGGGAUAACUUCGGGAAACCGGAGCUAAUACCGGAUGAUAUUUUGAACCGCAUGGUUCAAAAGUGAAAGACGGUCUUGCUGUCACUUAUAGAUGAAUCCGCGCUGCAUUAGCUAGUUGGUAAGGUAACGGCUUACCAAGGCAACGAUGCAUAGCCGACCUGAGAGGGUGAUCGGCCACACUGGAACUGAGACACGGUCCAGACUCCUACGGGAGGCAGCAGUAGGGAAUCUUCCGCAAUGGGCGAAAGCCUGACGGAGCAACGCCGCGUGAGUGAUGAAGGUCUUCGGAUCGUAAAACUCUGUUAUUAGGGAAGAACAUAUGUGUAAGUAACUAUGCACAUCUUGACGGUACCUAAUCAGAAAGCCACGGCUAACUACGUG